AAAUAUCACGAUAUUGUUAUCUAGGUCGUCUGCUUAUUGUUAUCAAACGGUUAUGGUUAUCGAAAAGACUUUACCAAAAUGAUCUCAAUAAGAGGUUUCCAAUAAAUUCUAGAGGCAAAAGCGUUGUGGAAUUAAAUCCGGAGUCUGAUGAUAUCGAACAUAUAGAGAUAAAUAAACAUGGCAAAAUUGUUCAAAUGAAUGAAAAUGAAUUACACGAAAAUGUCCUGCGGAAGAUGGAGCAGUGGGUUAUUCUUCCGCUCGUUUUUCUAUCAGUCACCUCUCGAUCAUCAUGUCUGGAUGCGACAAAAGCAGCAGAGUACAGGGCAAAAACUAUCAAAUAUCAUCACAAGAUUCAAGAAAAUAUGAAAAGCAUCAAUUAUCUGUCCGUCUGUUGCUUUCUUUAUAUGACUGGCGUCAAGUGAAUCUAAUGCCUAAUCUAUGGAAGUUAGAAUGCAUAUGUUUCCUCGUGGUCGCGUGAGAAUCUAAAGAAAGUCAAUACUUUCACAUUU
This is a long non-coding RNA of Octopus bimaculoides (California two-spot octopus), 509 nucleotides long. The record is from RefSeq and is a predicted model, not a curated record. Lineage: Eukaryota; Metazoa; Mollusca; Cephalopoda; Octopoda; Octopodidae.